ACCGUGUAGCUCAGUUGGUAGAGCGUCGAUCUAGUAAUUCGAAGGUCGCGGGUUCAAGACCCGCAGCCGCGGCA
Molecule: transfer RNA, 74 nt
Filed under: Paramuricea clavata
Lineage: Eukaryota; Metazoa; Cnidaria; Anthozoa; Malacalcyonacea; Plexauridae
Description: tRNA-Thr
Rfam family: tRNA (bases 7-64)
About the family: Transfer RNA (tRNA) molecules are approximately 80 nucleotides in length. Their secondary structure includes four short double-helical elements and three loops (D, anti-codon, and T loops).
Source: RNAcentral